UUUACUUGAAGCAACGCUUUGAAAAGGGAACUCGCACGUCUGCUUUGAGAUGAAAAAUGACAAUUCCCGAGUAACCUCCUGAAGCACAUCAGCAAGAAAACUGUAAUUUCAGGAUGACAUCUCUUCUUUUACAGUCAUGAGAUUUAUUGCAGAUGAGUGGAACAACUUAGGAAUAAUUUCUUAGUCACAAGUUUCAACAGAUACGUGAGGAAAAGCCCUGGCAGUCUAUAGAGGAGCUGCAUUACGUGUAAUUUGUGGAAGUGCUUUCUUAGCAGUGUGCCUGCCUACCUCCCUCCUAGCGUGAAGAGAUAUCUUCGCAAGCAUAUUUUUUUUUCUGGGAAACCUUGAAGGAUUUUUGAUUGCUUUGCACAAUAAACAAAGAGGAGAUGUAACAUCUUUGCUCCACAAGAAAGAAGGAGCACGUUCUCUACCCAAAUUGCUAAAAGAAAGAAGCAACUUUUGAAAAUGAUUGAUAGUUCUCCAAGACCAUUAGAAAAUGUUUGCACCUUCACUCCAUACACACCAAGUCCUUGACAUAGAUUGCUGCUGAUGGAGAGCAUGGAAGUAUUUUGACCUUCAGCCUGGCCUCACAAUGUGGUUCAUCCCUAAGAAACAGCGUGGAGAUUCUGCUCUGAAGAAAAGGCUUGGACCUUUGGACACGGGUCACCUUUACCUUGUGUUGCAUCAGCUGCAGGUGCCUUUGCACAGGUGAGCUCCUCCACACUGAGUCACUGCUGUUUCUAUCCAGCACUGUGGAAGCUAAAGUGAGAGCUGUUCACAUAGAAAUGUUCAACAUCAAAAACUUCUAAGCAAAAGAGCAACAUCGAGAGAAGAUGACCAGGAACUUAAGUGAUAGUUUGGGAUCCCAACAAGCAAACAAAGAAUAAGAACCCACCAUCAAAGAACAGCCAUGCUGCUGGAGGAGCAGUGUGUUCCUACGGAUUCCUACUCCAUGGCUCUAUGAGGGCAACGUCCAAGGAGAUCAUGCAGGUGAGGUGCUCUUGGUCAGUGUUCAUCAGUGUCUGAUGAAAAGGAAAAUAUCCUUUACAAAGUUCUGCAGGAGCAGUACAUUGCUGAACUAUGGUGAGGACAAGUUGUGCUGUGAUUGUGAGCAUCUGGAGGAGGAUUAGAGAUGACUCGUACAUAAUAUUAUGGCACUAGUCUGGCCCCCGGUCAAGACUUUGAUAUCAGUAGCUACCAUUGACGGGAGAAACUAAGAAAUAUUUCCUGUGCUCAGAAGAAGCUGCCUGAAUACUAUCAUAAAUAGAAACUUUUAAAAUAGACCUUGCUCUGUAGAGAGGAUGAAGAAUAACAACUAUGUGAGAGCUUUUGGGGAGCUUGGUCUGCUAUGUCAUUCGUUUUCCCAGGAUUUUUAAAGCUGUAUUUUUUUUGCAAAAUAAAUAAUUCAGCAUCUUUAAAAAACAUAAAUAAUUUCUGAUCUUGACUUUCAAGCAACAAUAUCAAAUAUUUAGGUUUUCCUCUCCUCUCAAGUAACUGCUUCUAUCACAGGAUUGUGGCCUCCUCUGUGGUUCGGCAAUGCAAUGCUUUAAUCUUCAGUCAAAACAACCAUCAAACACUUCUGCAACCCUCUCUGUCAUCAGGAAAUCUGCUAUUUAAAGGCUCCCUAUACCUUUAGGCUCUGAUCUCUCUGCUACAUUUGGCCAUGGAGUAAAAAUUAUAAUGAAAAGUGAUUUCUCAUCUCUCCAGGGAGAUUUUCACUUUGGGAACUGGCAUCUUUCUCUUUCAUAUGGCACUAAUUCUGCAAAUGUGUGGAAGCCGGACUUCUGGAGCAUCUGUUCUUGGUGUCCCUGGCUCUGUCUGGGUUGCAAUGAGCUGGUGUGGGGCAGGAUGUCCCCUCCAAGGGCUCCUUUCCGCAUCCUCAUGGAACAUCCCAGCUAAGAUGUGCUGGGGGCUUUGCCUCAGAGGUUAAGACCUCAGUAGCAGGGCAUGAGCAGCCCUAACUCUUCACAAUUGUCCCUCUUUACUAAUGCCAUAUAAUCAGCCAUUCUGCAAAUGAUUAAUAAAAGUCUUAAGGAUUUUAGGGCUCUAAUUGCCUUUCAUGUUCUCUGCCUUUCAGCUGGCAGACAGAUCUAUGCAGAGCUGCCUUUGCUGAAACCUGUGUCACCUGCUUGUGUCACCUCUUGGUGAUCAUGACCCCUUGCUGCAUUUGUACCUCCCAUGCCAUGGGGAAGGCAUGUAAGCACCAUGUUUUCUUUCAGGUGGCUAAUAAAAUAUUGACUGGCUUGGGUCCAAGGGAUCAAGGAAUCAUUCCUGUAGAGACACCACUUGAAACAUGCCCCCAUCAUUCAGUUUUUGAAGGCUAAUUCUUUUAGCCAGUAUGUAAUCCACUUUAUGUGCUGUGUUGAUUUUGUAAUGAUGUGGCUCCUUGAAUAUUACAGUGUGGGAUACCAAGUCAAAUAUUUUACAGAAGCUUAAGUCAACACUAUUUCCUUUAUUAAGCAAAAUUGUAGUCUCAUCAUAAAAAAAAAAAAAAAUCCAGUUAGCAUUAGAUCUAUUUCUCAUCAGCCCUUGUUGAUAGGCAUUAACGAUAUUAUGCUUUACUAUUUUUUAAUUUCUGAAGUUGUUUCUCACAGCUCGGGAUCCAUUAUCUCCCCAGGACCAAAGCUCAGCAGGCCUAUCAAUAUUCAGAUCAUUCAACUUACCCUUAGAGGCUUUUCUUCUGCUCUGAUUUUGCCUGUGCUCCACAGCAUAUUCAAAACCAUUAGCAGUCCACAAAGGACUGCAAUUUCUCUUAAAAAUGAUUGUGUGCAAAUUAUUUAGGAUGUUGAUUUAGAACUGUUGCUGUUAUAAAUAUUACUCACUGGCCUCCCAAACUUCUGCUGUUAUGCAAAUUGUUGUAUCAUCAUCCUCUGAUGUGAACGCAUCAUUUGCAGUUGUUUUUCUCCCCAGGUUCAGAACAGGAAUAUUAGUUCAUUUAAAAACAUUUGCCUUUCUGCAUAAUUAUUGUCAUUCCUAUAAUUUCAAUUUGGUAGUAGUCCAAAGACAUUGUUUGGCUUCUCUUCUUUCCUAAUAUGUUUAAAGACUUUCUCAUUGCUCUUUUUCUCCAAAGUCAUAGCCUGUCUCUUGUAUUCUUUGCUUCCCUUAUUUAAUUUAUCCAAUCUCUACUUUCCAAGUUACAUUAAUUGCAGCUUUCUCCUUUGUUUGUUGUCUAUUUGGAUGCAAACAUUGCUCCUUUCACUCUUCCUCUGAGACAUGUCAGAUUUUUGUAACCGUUUUAACCAUCCUCUGCCAACGAAGGGACUGGGGCUUUCAAAGACAUCAGUGCAAUGUUCUGUAAAUGUAUCGUCCAUAUUUUGAGUUCUGCUUCACAGUUUGCUCUGGGACAUAAUUGUUUUGCAUUGUAAAACUGGCUUUUUCAAGGCACCAAAUGGAUGUAUCUGAUGUAGCUGAGUUGAUUUCUUGUUUGUUUGUUUUCUAUUUUCUGUGAAUUAUCACAAUUUGUCCUGUUCCUAGAGAAAUAGCUAAAUUUUUCUGUUAGAAUUUGUUCCAUCCCUAUCAAGGUGAGUUCCAAGAGCAGAUACCACCUUGCUGGAUGUCACUUAUUUCUGCAUAAAGGCCUCUGGAGCUUCCAUGGUGUGCUGGUAUGCACACAGAGAUAUGAAAUGCUCCAGCACUGAUAAUGGCAGCACAGAAACAGCUGUGCUCUGCAUGGCAGCUCUAGGGCCCAUGAUCACCUAUGUCAACCACAUGCAAAGCUUACAGGUUUGUUCCAGAGAACCCCUUUGGUCAUUAAGUCUCGCUGCUGAAAGUAUUUCACAAUAAUAUCUGGUGAUUUUAAUAAGGAAACACUGCAUGAGUAUAAUAUUCCACCUAAAAUGUUUCUGACUGGGCUCAGACCAAUUUUGCCUACCCUGUGCUGGGAACAUCAACACUUCAAGGCUGACAACAUUUCCUAUCAAGCUGUUUCACAAAACAUGUGGGACUGGUCCAUGCUGCCAGGUGUUUUGCCUCCUCUCUCCUGGUUGGACCUUGGAGACCACAGCUGCUGGAAGAGCUGCAUUAUGACAUUCCUGGCAGCAUCUUGAGCUUGCUGGAAAUGCAUUAGAAAGACAGCAACGUCAGAAGUGCCCAUGUCCUCGGAUGGCAAGAGCAGAGAUGGCUGUAAGGGCAGUGCACCCUUGUCACCCAAUUCCCCAGUAAGGAGUGUGUCCUUCCCCUCCAGCAGUUGGACAAAUCGCACUCAUCCACAAGGCCCAAGGAUGCCUCAGAUCGCUCAGUUUGGAU
This is a long non-coding RNA of Nothoprocta perdicaria, 4245 nucleotides long. RefSeq lists it as uncharacterized. The record is from RefSeq and is a predicted model, not a curated record. NCBI's taxonomy places the organism in Eukaryota, Metazoa, Chordata, Aves, Tinamiformes, Tinamidae. The transcript has 4 exons.